AAGCGCCCCCGCCUGGGGAGUACGAUCGCAAGAUUAAAACUCAAAGGAAUUGACGGGGCCCCGCACAAGCAGCGGAGCAUGCGGCUUAAUUCGACGCAACGCGAAGAACCUUACCAAGGCUUGACAUAUACAGGAAUACGGCAGAGAUGUCGUAGCCGCAAGGUCUGUAUACAGGUGGUGCAUGGUUGUCGUCAGCUCGUGUCGUGAGAUGUUGGGUUAAGUCCCGCAACGAGCGCAACCCUCGUUCUGUGUUGCCAGCAUUUAGUUGGGGACUCACAGGAGACUGCCGGGGUUAACUCGGAGGAAGGUGGGGAUGACGCCAAAUCAUCAUGCCCCUUAUGUCUUGGGCUGCACGCAUGCUACAAUGGCUGGUACAAACGGCUGCAAUACCGCAAGGUGGAGCGAAUCCGAGAAAGCCAGUCUCAGUUCGGAUUGGGGUCUGCAACUCGACCCCAUGAAGUCGGAGUUGCUAGUAAUCGUAGAUCAGCAACGCUACGGUGAAUACGUUCCCGGGGCUUGUACACACCGCCCGUCACAUCACGAAAGUCGGUAACACCCAAAGUCAGUGGCCC
RNAcentral lists this ribosomal RNA (572 nucleotides) under uncultured Actinomycetes bacterium. RNAcentral's name for it is "bacterial SSU rRNA". It matches the Rfam family "Bacterial small subunit ribosomal RNA", at positions 862 to 1436 of the family's 1533-position model. The record is from RNAcentral. Lineage: Bacteria; Bacillati; Actinomycetota; Actinomycetes.